RNAcentral lists this small RNA (29 nucleotides) under Bombyx mori (domestic silkworm). RNAcentral describes it as "ovarian small RNA-30015". The record is from RNAcentral. Lineage: Eukaryota; Metazoa; Arthropoda; Insecta; Lepidoptera; Bombycidae.
UCUGGUUGUCAUAUUGACCAUGGGAGCCU